UUAAGUUCAGCGGGUAAUCCUGCCUGAUCUGAGGUCUAAAUCAAAAAUGACUAGAUGGGUUGGAAGCUUCUAGCUUUUUCAUUCUCGGCCACUAAGUAAAUAGUGUCCUCAGCGAAUAGUCUAUUACGCUGAGUCAAUCCGAUUACGAAAUUGAGAUGCUAAUGUAUUACGAGCGAGCUUAAUGAAAAGCAGCGCUCAAA
This 200-nucleotide unclassified non-coding RNA is filed under the name Fellozyma sp. Its description in RNAcentral is "partial internal transcribed spacer 2". The record is from RNAcentral. Lineage: Eukaryota; Fungi; Basidiomycota; Microbotryomycetes; Chrysozymaceae.